AGACCCGAAACCCGGUGAUCUAGCCAUGGGCAGGUUGAAGGUUGGGUAACACUAACUGGAGGACCGAACCGACUAAUGUUGAAAAAUUAGCGGAUGACCUGUGGCUGGGGGUGAAAGGCCAAUCAAACCGGGAGAUAGCUGGUUCUCCCCGAAAGCUAUUUAGGUAGCGCCUCGUGAAUUCAUCUCCGGGGGUAGAGCACUGUUUCGGCUAGGGGGCCAUCCCGGCUUACCAACCCGAUGCAAACUGCGAAUACCGGAGAAUGUUAUCACGGGAGACACACGGCGGGUGCUAACGUCCGUCGUGAAGAGGGAAACAACCCAGACCGCCAGCUAAGGUCCCAAAGUCAUGGUUAAGUGGGAAACGAUGUGGGAAGGCCCAGACAGCCAGGAUGUUGGCUUAGAAGCAGCCAUCAUUUAAAGAAAGCGUAAUAGCUCACUGGUCGAGUCGGCCUGCGCGGAAGAUGUAACGGGGCUAAACCAUGCACCGAAGCUGCGGCAGCGACACUCAGGUGUUGUUGGGUAGGGGAGCGUUCUGUAAGCCUGUGAAGGUGUGUCGUGAG
RNAcentral lists this ribosomal RNA (560 nucleotides) under Salmonella enterica. RNAcentral describes it as "partial 23S ribosomal RNA". It matches the Rfam family "Bacterial large subunit ribosomal RNA", at positions 711 to 1267 of the family's 2925-position model. The record is from RNAcentral. Lineage: Bacteria; Pseudomonadati; Pseudomonadota; Gammaproteobacteria; Enterobacterales; Enterobacteriaceae.